Molecule: ribosomal RNA, 479 nt
Filed under: uncultured bacterium
Lineage: Bacteria
Description: bacterial SSU rRNA
Rfam family: Bacterial small subunit ribosomal RNA
Source: RNAcentral
CUCUGUGACUCCUACGGGGAGGCAGCAGUGGGGAAUAUUGCACAAUGGGGGAAACCCUGAUGCAGCCAUGCCGCGUGUGUGAAGAAGGCCUUCGGGUUGUAAAGCACUUUCAGUAGGGAGGAAGGUAGUGUAGUUAACACCUGCACUAUUUGACGUUACCUACAGAAGAAGCACCGGCUAACUCCGUGCCAGCAGCCGCGGUAAUACGGAGGGUGCGAGCGUUAAUCGGAAUUACUGGGCGUAAAGCGCAUGCAGGCGGCCUGUUAAGUCAGAUGUGAAAGCCCGGGGCGUUAAACCUCGGAAUUGCAUUUGAAACUAGGCAGGCUAGAGUCUUGUAGAGGGGGGUAGGAAUUUCAGGUGUAGCGGUGAAAUGCGUAGAGAUCUGAAGGAAUACCAGUGGCGAAGGCGGCCCCCUCGGACAAAGACUGACGCUCAGAUGCGAAAGCGUGGGGAGCAAACAGGAUUAGAUACCCUGGUAG